GUCAGCUUCGGCAGCACAUAUACUAAAAAUUGGAACGAUACAGAGAAGGUUAGCAUGGCCCCUGCCUCUCAACGGAUGAAGACGCAAUUCGUGAAGCAUUCCAUAUUUUA
Small nuclear RNA from Suncus etruscus (white-toothed pygmy shrew), 110 nucleotides. Lineage: Eukaryota; Metazoa; Chordata; Mammalia; Eulipotyphla; Soricidae. The record is from RefSeq and is a predicted model, not a curated record.